This 7168-nucleotide long non-coding RNA is filed under the name Homo sapiens (human). Its description in RNAcentral is "HSALNT0311609". The record is from RNAcentral. Lineage: Eukaryota; Metazoa; Chordata; Mammalia; Primates; Hominidae.
GCAAAACAGAGAAGACUCACUCCUCUGUGGGAGGCCACAGCCCAAAUGAUUGCUGGCUUCUUCAAGGGCUGGAGCAGGGCUUGCAGGGGAUUGCUGGCCUUCAGUGUGUGAGGUCUUUGGCCUUUUUCUACGUGAACAUCAAGGUUAAUCUAUGUGGACUUGGCCUUCUGUUGGAGCAAGUUAUUGCAAUGCUGUUGGAGGAGCAUGAGGUUCUUAGCACUUCUUAGCUUCAGAUAUCAAGGGAGAUUCUUGUCCAACAACAACAGAAAAUAGAGCCCAGCCAUUUUUGUCAUCAAGAUUGCCAGGGUCGCAUGAUCUCAAUGGCAAUGCUCACACUUGCUAGAAAUUUGGAUUCAUAAGCUUUUGAGUUAAACAGGGUCUGAGAAUCCUUAAAGCUAACUCCUCUCUGUUUCAGAGGUGCAAACUGCUAAUGAGAAAGAUGCCAAUCUGGUUCUUAUUCUUUUUUUUUUUUUUUUUUGAGAUGGAGUCUUUGUUGUCCAGGCUGGAAUGCAGUGGUGUGAUCUCAUCUCACUGCAACCUCCACCUCCUGGGUUCAAGUGAUUCUCCUGCCUCAGCCUCUGGAGUAGUUGGGAUUACAGGUGCCUGCCUCCACACCCAGCUAACUUUUGUAUUUUUAAUAGGACGGGGUUUUGUCAUGUUGGCCAAGCUGGUCUCAAACUCCUGACUUCAAGUCAUCUACCUGCCUUGGCCUCCCAAAGUUGGUUCUUAUUCUUUUGUUGUUUAUUUGUUUCUUGUUUCUCUCUGAGAGUGUUUAGGAUCUCCUUAGAUUGUUGGUGCUCUGAAAUUCCAAGAGGUUAUUUCUAUGGAUCACUCUUUGUUCAUUGUGCUCAGUGCUUGGGGUCUUUCAAUCCAAAGCUUAUAUCUUUCUUCAACUCCGGGAGAUUUUUUUCAAUUGUUUCUUUGAUAAUUUUCUGCUUUCUGUUUUCCUUCUUCUCCUUUUCUGAAAUUCCUGCAAUGUAAAUGUUGAGCCACCUAAAUUGACCCUAUGUAUUUUUUUUCUCCAAUUACCCAUUUUAUUUUGGUCAUUUUACUCUGUAUUCUGCAAGUUCUUCUUGAAUUUUUAAUGUAUUUUUUCUGUCUUUGACUUUUGGUUUCAAAAAAAUUGAAUGUAUUAUAUUUGUGAUAAUAAAAAGUAAAUAUAUUUUAAAAGGGAUUUAGAACAAACUCUUGGUUUUCAACUGCUCCUUUUUAAUAGAAGAUUUUUUUUUUUUUUUUUUUUUUUGACAGAGUCUCGGUCUGUCACCAGGCUGGAGUGCAGUGGCGUGACCUGGGCUCACUGCAACUUUUGCCUCCCGGGUUCAAGCAAUUCUCCUGCCUCAGCCUCCUGAGUAGCUGGGAUUACAGGUGCCCACCACCAUGCCCAGAUAAUUUUUGUAUUUUUAGUAGAGACGAGGUUUCACCAUGUUGGCCAGAAUGGUCUCAAUCUCUUGACCUCGUGAUCCACCUGCCUUGGCCUCCCAAAGUGUGGGUUUUGUUUUACGGACGUAUCAUCUUGGUUCUCCAAGAGGAUAAUUAGAGUUUAAGGUUUUUACUUAGUUCUUUUUCCUUUCCUUGUUCUACCUCCUCCAAGUUCAUUUGUUCUGUUGACUUAUCUUGGUCCUUUUCUUUUCCUGAGUGAAUGGUGUUUGUGGCAGCUCAUUUCUAUUUAUGCAUUCUAGGUUGGGUUGUUAAGUUGAAGUAAAUGGGGGACUGGGGUCCUUCUGCGAAUGAGAAGGUGUGACUGUGAGCUCUCUGGCUGUGGAAGGGGGUGCUGAUGGGUAAAUCUUGCUUUCUUCUGUGAGAGUGGGAGAAGUCAAACCAAUUCAAGGAGACCCCUGCUCUAAGAUGUUACUCCCAUGUUGGAAGCCUCAGCCCCUUCCAGUCAGCUUUUAUUUGCUUUUUAAAAAGAUUAUUUCUCAAGGGUGCAAGGGUGGUAAGGGAUAAAAGACUAAACACUGGGCACAGUGUACUGCUUGGGUGACAGGUGCAGCAAAAUCUCAGAAAUUACUACUAAAGAAUCUAUCCCUGUAACCACCUGUUCCCCGAAAACUAUUGAAAUAAAAUAAAAAUAAAAAAGGAUUAUUUUUCCAGCUUUUAAGGUAAAAGCUGCCAUUUUCUGCCCAUGGGAUUAGGGAGAGGUGGGAUGGUGAAGGCCAGUUUCCACAGCAGUUUAGGUCCAGUCAUUCCAUCAAUCACUUCCUUUUAUGCUCACCCUGGUCUUUGUACUUUCCAACCUCCAGAGGCUCUAACGUGAAGGACAUCACCCCCUGCCACUGCCCUCACCAAUAACUUCCACUUUUAUUGCAACCCCAAAAUGUGUUCUGAGCAUCUAGGAAGCUAGAAAUCAGCCUUCCUCAUCAACUUCCUUAAAAUUGGGGAUUUAAGUAAUACUUUUUAGAAUCUGUCCACUCAGCUUCCAGGCCACAUCCCUCUGACCCAGCUCCACCCCAUUUCCAUCCUUAUUGUUUCUGGGGGAAGCCACUUGAUGAUGCCAAGUAUUUUCCAGUUCUGCUUUUGACCGCACUUUGCAAAGUAGUGUAUGGUAUGAUGCUUGUUCCUUCCUUGGUUUGGAAGACUUUUGCCUGUUUUCUCAAAAACAAAUGAACAAAAAUCUCUGGUGUUUUUUGGAUUUGGUGGGAGGGAGAAUUUUGAAUCUGCUUCAAGUCCCACAUCUUUCUCUGCCACCUCACACGAUUAAUAUCAAGAAGCACAGACAACUCUCAUUUAUUUCCCACUUUCAGUGAAAAAGAAAAAGCACCAACCUUGCUUGUUUUGGUUCCAUUUUGGUUUGUUCUGUUUGUUUUUAAUAGCUGUUCACAUGAAUGUAUUAACCUGGAUGGGAUCUUGAUUUGACCUAGAGUCAUACUAGGUGGCUGAGAGGACACUAGUCAGCUUCCUCUCAACUAUGAGAUGACCUAGUGGUCAGCCUUCAGGGUCUGGAUUUUCCUCAGGAGGGUCCUUGCUAAAAGUGGCAGAGUCCAUUUUCAGUCCAAGACAGAAUGAGAUGAAAGAGAGAAUCAAGGAUGUGGACCUGAUUGCCUGGAGACCUGUGUUCUAGUCCCACCUGGCCUUCUUAUCAACUGUGCAGGCUGGGGCAAGUGGUAGCCUCUCCCCAGCUUCAUUUUCCUCCUCUGUAAAAUAGUUGGGUGGGUCCUGAUGUCUCCCAGAUCGCUUUUACUUUCUAAAACUCCAUGAUUCCUUAUAAAGUAGGCUUCUAAAGAGCAAGUAAGGGCAGGAGAGGAUGUGAAGGGGAAGAAUAAUUAAUAUCCACAUUCAGCCCUAAUUUGGUUAGUAUGGUUUCAUUAAUAAUGGAAAUAACAACAAUUGCCAUUGAUGAAGACUAUUUAUGUUUCUGUUUCAGAAACAAUAUCUGCUCUUGGAGUCACUGCCACCAAGGGAAUAACUUUACCUGGAAUAUGGACUGGGAGCUCAAGCCAAAAGCAUGGACAAGGGAGUCCCAGAUUACAGGAUACUAUUAUGACUUUUGCAUAAAUAUAAACUCCUAUUAGAUAAAUUGAUAAGAUGUGCUCUGGUUAGCUAUUGCUGUGUAACAAACCACCCCAAACAGUGGUUUAAAGCAAUGACAUUCUAGGGUUGGCUGGGCUCAGCCAGGUGGUUCUUAUGUGGUCUAUCAUUAAGGUGCAAAAAGAUAGUGGCUGGGUUAGGGCCAUUCUGAAGAGUUAUUCACUCACAGGUCUAGAACCUGGGCUGAAGGACUCAAACAGCUGGAGGAUCUAUCUAUCUAUCUAUCUAUCUAUCUAUCUAUCUAUCUAUCUAUCAUCUUCUAUCUAUCUAUCUAUCAUUAUCUUUCAAUCUCCUCCAUAUGAUCUCUCCCCAAAGUGGCUCCAGGGUAACCAGACUUCUUACAUGACAGCUGGAGCCUUGGAGUAAGUUUCCUAAAGAGACACUGGUAGAAGCUGCAUGAUCUUUUCUAAUCUGACUUCAGAAGUCACACUUCUACUACAUUCUGUUCAUUAAUGCAGCCACAAGGGCCCGCCCAAGUUCAAGAGGUGAGGAUACUGACUCUGUCUCUUAAUGUGCAGAGUGUCAAAUAAUUUACAAGCACGUUUCAAAAACCACCAGAAGUUGCAAGAAUGAAUCAGUUAGUGUUGAUGAAUAUCAAUAUAAUAUAGUUACAAAAUGAAUUAUUGCAAGAUUUAAAAUUUGCAAACUCUGAUAGUCACCUAGUGACCAUCUCACCAAGCAUUUCUAGAGGUGCCCACCACUUGAUUUCCAGCCUAGGUGCUGCCCUGGCCUAAGCAGAGACCCCAGUUAUACAUUGGAGUAGGCAAUGGAGAGUCAAGAUGACCUGAUUCUGUCAUGCUGAGUCAUAUGACCUUUGAUAUAUCACUUUAACUUACUGGGCCUCAUGUUUCUCCUGCAUAGUGGAGAUACUAGCCUUGCCUUACCUAUGUUGAAGAAUUGUGAUGAGACUCAAAUAAGAAUGUACUUUAUAACUGCAAAGUGUUCUACAAAGGAAGAGAAUGCUCCCUCCUGUUUCUUGCCUCUUCUGAACACUGGUGAAGCCAUGAGGCCUUAAGAACCUUGUCACAUUAAAGGUUAACCCUCCAGGAAUCUUCUGUUACACAUUUCUUCCCAAUAGCCCUGGGUUCUCAUGGUGUCCACUGGCGCCUAUUUACUGGGUUCUUCUGGGAGGGAUGGAGUGUUUGGCUUUUCCCCACGUGGCUUGACUGCUGGCAAUCACCUCUGUGUGCUUUUUUUUUUUUUUUUUUUUUUUUUUUUUUAUGGAGUCUUGCUCUGUAGUCCAGGCUGGAGUGCAGUGGCAUGAUCUCAGCUCACUGCAACCUCUGCCGCCUGGGUCCCGGUUCAAGCAAUUCUGCCUCAGCCUCCUGAGUAGCUGGGAUUACAGGCACGUGCCACCAUGCCCAGCUAAUUUUUGUAUUUUUAAUAGAGACAGGGUUUCACCAUGUUGGCCAGGCUGGUCUUGAACUCUUGAUCUCGUGAUCUGCUUGCCUCAGCUGCCAAAGUGCUGCGAUUAUAGGCAUGAGCCACCGCGCCUGGCCCUGUGUGCUCUUUAUUAUGGGAUGGCUUUUCCAGUCCACAGGGAGGAUCUUCCCUACAACUGACAGCAUAAGGCUGGGUUCAAGGGGUGAAAUGGACAGUGCUUUGGGACCUGGUGGCAGAAAAGCUAAUGUGAAACUGACAGAAGAGAAAUUUAUUUACCAACUCUCCAAUCUACACCUCCAACACAGACUUGCUUUUCUUUUAAAGGACCCAAGUUUGCUUCUUUUCAAAACAUUAAAAAUAUUUAGUCAGAGACAGUUCAGCCUCUCAGUGCUUCCUCUUUAGCAGAGAAGAUCCAGAAACACCUGUCACAGGCACAACCUAUGGAUUUAUUUAUUUAUUUAUUUAUUUAUUUAUUUAUUUAUUUAUUUAUUUAUUUGAGACAGAGUCUUGCACUGUUGCCCAGGCUGGAGUGCAGUGGCACGAUCUCGGCUCACUGCAAGCUCCGCCUCCUGGGUUCAUACCAUUCUCCUGCCUCAGCCUCCCAAGUAGCUGGGACUACAGGCGCCCGCCACCACGCCUGGCUCAUUUUUUUGUAUUUUUAGUAGAGGUGGGGUUUCACCGUGUUAGCCAGGAUGGUCUCAAUCUCCUGACCUCGUGAUCUGUCCACUUCGGCCUCCCAAAGUGCUGGGAUUACAGAUGUGAGCUACCACGCACUGCCAACCUAUGGAUUUAUAAAGGAAGAAAAAUAUGUAGCAGAUUGAUUAAAUUAUCUGACAGUGGAGGGGCAUGGCCAUAAAUGUUUUUGUUUCUCUAAUCAUUGCUGUCCAUUGUCCUGUGUUGAGCUUUUCUUUCCCAUUCUUUGAUGAUAUUUGGUCAGCUCCUGUGGCCUUCCAGUCACUUCCCAAUAUAGAAGGGACAGGUCCAGUCCAGAGCAGCGCAGGUUAAAGCUCCAGUCUCCUACACAAUUUAGCCCUUGUUUCAUCCUCUGCCUUAAGCACCUGCCAGAUUUUUCCCUUGAAGGGAACAUUGUCUUUACUGCCUGCCCCCCCGCCCCAGCUUGAUUCCUUAGGGUUGGGCAGUGGGGAGAAAGAGGAGGAGAGAGAUACAAUCUCUAACUUCCUGGUGGGGCUGCAGCCUUCUCUUUGUGACUGUCUCCUGUUCCCACCCAGAGAUGGGGGGCUGCAUGGAGGAGCUCUCAAAGCCCGUCUCUGUACACUCCCUGAUGUGGUUCUACUCAGGUCUGACCCUGGCCAGACCUCACUCAGCUCCCAACCCACUGCUUCUUGUUCUGCAGGUUUCUCCUUUCUAGGUGGCCAGACUUUCUGGGUGAGGUCCUGGCAAGAUGGUGCAAGUGCAGCUGCUUUCUGUGAUUGUCCAACUGGUCUGUAGGAGACUCUUGCAUUCUUAUCUCCUAAUGCUGCAAAAGCAGGCUGCUGCAGGGCCACCCCCUUGCAAGUUAUUCCUGCUCCUUCUCCAAUUCAUCCUCUCUUUCUCAGAGUCUUCCCUCCUCCCCUGCUUAAAUAGCCGUGCUUAAACAGACUCCAGCUAGGGAGCAAGAUGUCAAUCUCCGUUCUCAAAGCCACCUCCUAAACGCACAAGAGAUUCUCUUGAAGCCCCUACUCACAUGGCCUAGGGGAGUGAAGGGAUGGAGGUGAUCAGGAAAGCUACCUCUUCUACCAGAGAGGAAAAGCCACAGCACUCUCCCCUAUGACUUUCUAUUCUUAAUAUUCUCUUUUCUUUCUAAGUAUCAGAAAAGUUCAGCUUCCUCUGAAUUAGCCAAGGAAGCAGUGAUUGACCCCCUAGUUGUUUGUUUCUUGAUGCCCUUUGGUUCACAGUAGCCAUUUCUCAGGCAGCAAGAGAAGUGGCUGUCAACAUCCUGCUACAGACACAUGGUCAGUGAACAUUGCAAUAAGCGAUGAGCCUUGCUAACAAUCAGGGCUAUGCAAAUUAAGAGAGGAAGAGGAUGUUUUUCAGCCUAUCAAAUUGGUUUAAAAUAAAUGCAUUACGUGAUUAUAUCCGAGCUUAAUAAAUCUGUGUGUUUGUGUGUGUAUAAGUGCAUAGGUGUGUAUAUAAGUGUUUGGGUGUGUGUGUAAUUGUGUAGGUGUGUAAAUGUUGGGUGUGUGUGUAAGUGUGUAGGUGUGUGUAUGAGCAUUUGAGCUUAUGUGUGUAAGUGUGUGUGGAGUGUGUGUGUGCGUUUGGG